The sequence is a non-coding RNA, 85 nucleotides long. It matches the Rfam family "Pseudomonas sRNA P9". From Rfam's summary of the family: P9 appears to be conserved in several Pseudomonas species in addition to Bordetella spp. In both Pseudomonas and Bordetella spp P9 appears to be located upstream of a predicted threonine dehydratase gene. The record is from Rfam.
CUGAUUAUUAGCAUCAUUCAUCGAAUGGUGGGUUAGCGCGCGUCGGAUAGCAGUGACACAUAACCCGCCACCUGAGGCGGGUUUU